This 501-nucleotide ribosomal RNA is filed under the name uncultured bacterium. RNAcentral's name for it is "partial 16S ribosomal RNA". It matches the Rfam family "Bacterial small subunit ribosomal RNA", at positions 29 to 523 of the family's 1533-position model. The record is from RNAcentral.
AUUGAACGCUGGCGGCACGCCUUACACAUGCAAGUCGAACGGCAGCACGGGUGCUUGCACCUGGUGGCGAGUGGCGAACGGGUGAGUAAUACAUCGGAACGUACCUUAUCGUGGGGGAUAACGCAGCGAAAGCUGUGCUAAUACCGCAUACGCCCUGAGGGGGAAAGCGGGGGAUCGAAAGACCUCGCGCGAUUAGAGCGGCCGAUGCCUGAUUAGCUUGUUGGUGGGGUAAAAGCCCACCAAGGCGACGAUCAGUAGCUGGUCUGAGAGGACGAUCAGCCACACUGGGACCGAGACACGGCCCAGACUCCUACGGGAGGCAGCAGUGGGGAAUUUUGGACAAUGGGGGCAACCCUGAUCCAGCAAUGCCGCGUGAGUGAAGAAGGCCUUCGGGUUGUAAAGCUCUUUUGUCAGGGAAGAAACACCGGCUCUAACACAGUCCGGGAAUGACGGUACCUGAAGAAUAAGCACCGGCUAACUACGUGCCAGCCGCCGCAGUAA